CGGACGGGUGAGUAAUACGUAGGUAAUCUACCCCUUAGUUUGGAAUAACCAGCUGAAAAGCUGGCUAAUGCCGGAUAAGACCACGGCCACCAUGGUGGCUGCGGCCAAAGAUGGCCUCUACAUGUAAGCUAUCGCUUGGGGAUGAGCCUACGCACCAUUAGCUUGUUGGUGAGGUAACGGCUCACCAAGGCUAUGAUGGUUAGCUGGUCUGAGAGGAUGAUCAGCCACACUGGGACUGAGACACGGCCCAGACUCCUACAGGAGGCAGCAGUGGGGAAUUUUGCGCAAUGGGGGAAACCCUGACGCAGCGACGCCGCGUGAGUGAUGAAGGCCCUCGGGUCGUAAAGCUCUGUCGAAGGGGAAGAAACGGGUGUGCGGUUAAUACCCGCACGCCUUGACGGUACCCUUCAAGGAAGCACCGGCUAACUCCGUGCCAGCAGCCGCGGUAAUACGGAGGGCGCGAGCGUUGUUCGGAAUUACUGGGCGUAAAGAGCGUGUAGGCGGCUGACUAAGUCUGGUGUGAAAGCCCGGGGCUUACCCCCGGAAGUGCGCUGGAAACUGGUCAGCUAGAGUAUGGGGAGAGGAAAGCGGAAAUUCCUGGUGUA
This 605-nucleotide ribosomal RNA is filed under the name uncultured bacterium. Its description in RNAcentral is "bacterial SSU rRNA". It matches the Rfam family "Bacterial small subunit ribosomal RNA", at positions 99 to 677 of the family's 1533-position model. The record is from RNAcentral.